RNAcentral lists this non-coding RNA (31 nucleotides) under Mus musculus (house mouse). The record is from RNAcentral. Lineage: Eukaryota; Metazoa; Chordata; Mammalia; Rodentia; Muridae.
UCAGAAAUCUGAGAAAAGGUGCUUUCAUAGU